GACGAACGCUGGCGGCGUGCCUAAUACAUGCAAGUAGAACGCUGAAGGAGGAGCUUGCUUCUCUGGAUGAGUUGCGAACGGGUGAGUAACGCGUAGGUAACCUGCCUGGUAGCGGGGGAUAACUAUUGGAAACGAUAGCUAAUACCGCAUAAUAGUAGAUGUUGCAUGACAUUUGCUUAAAAGGUGCAAUUGCAUCACUACCAGAUGGACCUGCGUUGUAUUAGCUAGUUGGUGAGGUAACGGCUCACCAAGGCGACGAUACAUAGCCGACCUGAGAGGGUGAUCGGCCACACUGGGACUGAGACACGGCCCAGACUCCUACGGGAGGCAGCAGUAGGGAAUCUUCGGCAAUGGACGGAAGUCUGACCGAGCAACGCCGCGUGAGUGAAGAAGGUUUUCGGAUCGUAAAGCUCUGUUGUAAGAGAAGAACGAGUGUGAGAGUGGAAAGUUCACACUGGGACGGUAUCUUACCAGAAAGGGACGGCUAACUACGU
Molecule: ribosomal RNA, 494 nt
Filed under: uncultured bacterium
Lineage: Bacteria
Description: partial 16S ribosomal RNA
Rfam family: Bacterial small subunit ribosomal RNA
Source: RNAcentral